RNAcentral lists this long non-coding RNA (10435 nucleotides) under Nicotiana tabacum (common tobacco). Its description in RNAcentral is "long non-coding RNA (NTAB_LNC000421)". Lineage: Eukaryota; Viridiplantae; Streptophyta; Magnoliopsida; Solanales; Solanaceae. The record is from RNAcentral.
UGAAGCAAUUACUUAAAGGUAAAAUUUAUAAUAUUGUAUAACAAUUCAUACAUAAGCUCUCAAUGUAAUGAAAAAAUUUCAAAAAUAAAAGAUUUCUAUAAUAUCCAAAUACAAGAAUCUUUUUAACAACAAUCCCCUAACUAAGUGGCUUCGCCGCUUUCAUCCACUCUUUACUCAUUCGAUCCACCACCUAUAAAAGAUAAAAACAAAUGAUUUAGUAUAAAUUUCAAAAAGAAUAUAAUCUCCUGUAUUUAAUAACGGUCUGAGUAACAAGAACAUCAACUCAAAGCAAUCAAUAAAGCUUCCCCAAUUCAAAUUUGAAGCAGUCCAAAGAUUGAACUGGAGGUUUCACAUUUGGCCGUUUAAAUAAGAGAUCAUUCCUUGCAAAUCUAUCCCCGUAUAACCCAAUAACUACUAUAAAGAUAUAAUUUGAACCAAAUUUUGCCGAAAUCAAGCACUAAUUAAUUUUUGAAAUUAUAUUUCACUAAUCAUAUCCUAAACUACUCAUCACCAGCUCUCUUCAGUCAUAACCUAAUAAACAAUAAUCUAGUGUUAUUGUAGGAAACAAAAUAACCAACCAAGGAAUAAGUGCAAUCUAUUUGCACAACCAAGACAAAGUAACUAAUACUGAAAGAUCAAACCAAAUAGACAAAUCUUUCGGAUAAAGUUCAAUAUCACUAACUGAAUUAGCUGAAUGGAUAUUUGAAUCAUACAAAUUCAAGUUUCUCCAAGCCAUGUUCUUCCUCCCUAAUGUCCAAUUUCACACAAAGAAUUCAAAGCUUCAUGUUAUUUCAUUUCCGUCAAGCCAAAUGUUCUAUUCUCAAAUAAAAAGUUUUAGCAAGCUUAAAGUUCUUCAAAUCUACAUUUGUUCUUUUCCCCAAACUAGAUUUCAUAUGCAACAUAUCUAACAUACUCGUAGAAGUGAGGGCAACUUUAAGGGAGUACACACUUCUCUUUUCCUUGAAAAGAAAAAAAAAAGAUACCACACAUAGUCUCAGUUCCAAAUCAGUUCCGAAAAUUCUCUCUCUAGAAUUUUUCUCUCAAAAUUCCGCCGUCACUGUGGCUGCUAUAGUGCCGUGAACAGUGGAUGCGAGCUACUGUUCAUCGCGGAAAACUGAAGCUUUAAGCUUCAAAUGGCCACAAUGGCCGGCGGCCAGCCAUCUUUGUCGGCUGGUCAGCCCUUCCCCAGCAUCGCACAACAACAUACAACAACAAACUCCAAUCCAACCCCCCUAGAUUUCUCAAAGAUUUUGAAACCAUAUACGUUAAAUCCUCCAGCGAUGGCUACUGUUGUAAAUUCAGUGCAGCCCAUUCCGAUGCGAUGAGCUACUUUCUUGAAUGGUCAACUAGUUAUUAGAUUCACAGUGGCGGAAGUCGAACGGAUGAAUGUUAUUGAGGGUAUUCAAUAUGCCGUCGUCGGAAAACUCUCAUAUGGAUCUCCGAAGAUUCAUGAACUUCGCUGAAUCAUACCAACACAGUGUGGCAUCAAAGGAGAGUGCAAUAUCAAAUUUCUUAGAGAUCGUCAUGUGUUAAUUAGAUUAACUCUAUGGCAAGACUUAGUUGAUUUCACAUCAAAGAGUACAUACUACAUCAAAGCCAAAGAUGGGUACGAAUACCAGUUGCGAACUCUUAUUUACGAUGCAAAUUUUAAGGCGGGUGAAGAAACUCCGAUGGCGAUGGCGUGGAUUUCUUUUCCUGGACUGCUGCCUACUUUUUAUGUAAAGGAAACUCUGUUUUCCUUAGCUACAGCUGUGGGGAGGCCCCUGUGUCUUGACGCGGUGACGAUAAACAAAACUAGGCCGAGUUACACGAGAGUAAAAGUUCUAGUUGAUUUAUUGGCCGAGCUACCUAAGAGGAUACGUCUGGACAUCAAUGAUGAAGUUACUGGAGGGGUAAGAACAGAGUGGGUAAAGGUUCACUAUGACAUGUUGCCAAAAUACUAUAAGGAGUGUAAGCUUCAAGGCCACAAUGAAAUCGAAUGUUGGCGAUUGAACCCCGACCUAGUCGAAAGUCGAAGCAAUGACAAGAGAGCUGCUUCUGAUACAUUUCAUGAUGUCACAGCUGCAGUGGAAGACCAGGGGAAAACAAAAAAAUAUACUGCCACUUUAAUGAUUCUCACGAGCGGAAAAGUUGUUGGGAAUGUGACUAAAACUGGGCAAGAAAUCGUGCCAGUGAGAAGACUACUCAAUAGGUGCAAACAGCUAAUAAAUUUGCAAUCAUGGAGAUGGAUAACAGCGAAGAUAAUGAGAAGAAUCAUAUUGUUGUGGUAGAGGAAAUUUCUCAGCAAAAUGGAAUUCAUAAUCCUAAGGAAAAUGGGAUUAGAAAUCCUGCAGCACCGACCAAUGUGGCUGGUAAUGGCAAGGAACUAUGGAAAGAAGUUAGUGAUAACCAUGGCAAGAAUAUUGUUAAUCAGAAGGAAACUCAUAGAACUAAUGGAAAAGAAAUUAUCUCAGUUAAUCAAGGUGAAGAGUAACAGGUGCAAGUGGGAAAUAAAUUCGCAAUAUUGGAAGUUGAGGAAGUUGGGAAUGACGAUGCCAAUUGUGAUGCAGAAGCAGAUUCAAAAACCUUUUCCUAAAACUGUUGGAAAUCUAAAUCCAGCAGCUCCAGUGUUUAAUCCUAACUAAGAUGGGAUUUGAUCAACUAAUAGUCGUAAGGAUACUACUCCAAGUGAGAAUGAAAAGGUGACAGCUGCAGCAAAGGAAUCAACUGCUCAUUAGGUCCAAAGAGCUUUCAAAUACAAUGCAGUGGGAAUUAACACAUCAUGACAGGACAUACCAGCACAAGACACCUUGGUGGAUAAGGAAUUGGCCAAAACUCCCGACAAUCGAACUGGGGGAACUAAGUUUCCUAAAGGGAAUGACAGAGUUCAAUGGAGUGGAGGAGGGUUAUGGUCUAACCAAAUAGAGGAGGUUUCAGAUGAAGGUGAAGCUCCAGAUGGAGCACCAGUUGAUGAUAAACCAGUUGACGAUGAUCAAGAGGGAGAAGAGCAAAGUGUAAAUGGUGAUCCCAUUGUUACAGCUAACAACAAUACCGAUGUUAAUGAGGAGUCAAAUAUUCAGGAAGCAGGCAAGGACAAGCAGAUUGCAACAAAGGGUAAUGGAAUUGAUAUGGAGAAGUUUGCAGGAAGAGGAUCUGAUGGUGUAGAUCCAGGUGGAACAGGGGAGAUUGCAAUAUCUAAGAAAAGUGUAGUUUCUAACUUAAAGGUACUUACAAAUACUGGGAAUGAGCAACUGCCUACUGCACAAGCUGCAAAUGCACCUAGUACUGCUCCAUUGGAAACCACACAACUGAAGCUGUAGAAGAAAGGAGAGGAUCAAUCUAUGGUACCUAAACCUCACAAUAUAAAUGUUAUAACUCCACUAGGGGGUAAGGAUGCCAAUGAUGUAGAUGAGGAAAUUAACAGAAUAGGCAAGGAUAUGGAUCAAGAGUCUACUGCCCAGAAUUUUCAAAAUGUAGCAAGGCAAGGUGACCUAUCACCUAGGCAUAUGGAAAAGGCUAAAUCAGCAGCAAAAGGAAGGAAAAAGCAGCAGAAAGAUAACAACAUUGUGCACACAAGUGGUGUACAAACAAGGAGGACUCUGACCAAAUCAAACAAUCAGUAAUGGAUGCUCUUAUUUGGAACAUAAGGUCAGUUAAUACACAACAAGCCUUUGAGAGGCUGAUCAAAAUGCAUAGGAAGAAUCAUUAUGAAUUUAUAGGAUUAAUGGAGCCAAUGCAACAGGCUAAAAAACUGGAAAGGUAUAGAAGAAAAAUUGGAUUUGCACAGGCAAUUGCAAAUGUGUCAAACAAGAUUUGGGCUUUUAUAGAUGAGAUAUUUGAUGUUACUAUUAUGUAUAACAUGGUGCAGGAACUGACACUAAGGCUCGUUCAUUCUGAAACACAUGUAGAAUUGGUUCUUCCUUUGGUAUAUGGUAAAUGUGAUGCCAUCGAAAGAAUAGAGAUAUGGGACUCAAUGUAUGCAAUGGCAAGGGACAUGGCAGUGCCAUGGCUUGUAGGUGGAUUCUUUAAUAUUAUUUGGGAUGAAGAAGAAAAGUAUGGUGGUUUGCCAGUGUCAUUGAAUGAAACUAAUGACUUUCGACACUGCAUCAACACUUGCAACUUAUUUGAUCUUGGCUUCAAAGGUAGUAUUUUCACUUGGUGGAAUGGGAGGGCAGGAGAAGACUGUAUUUUCAAGAGGUUAGAUAGAUGUCUAGCAAAUGUUGAAUUUCAGUAUACCUUCCCAGGAAUUGAAGUUACACAUUUGUCAAAGAUAGGCUCAGACCACAGCCCUAAACUAAAGUGUGAUAUAGAGGUUCCUCCAGUGAAGAAACCUUUUAGAUUUCUUAAUUUCUGGGUUGAGCAUGAGUCAUUUAAGGAUACUGUAGAGAGAACUAGAAGGCAGAUUUUAGUGCAAGCCCAUUUGUCAUGUUUAAUUAUAAGCUGAAGAAAUUAAAAAAAGGCACUGUCAGUGUGGAGUAGAGCAACCUAUUGUGACAUUUUUCAGAAGAUUGCAAGAUUGGAGGAGGUAGUAUUGGUUCAUGAAGCAUAGUUUGAAACUAAUCCUACCAAACUGAACAGAGAAAGAUUGCACAAAGUACAAGCAGAGUUGAUCAGAUUUCUUGCCUUGGAGGAAAAAUAUUGGAAGCAGAAAUCAGGUAUGGCUUGGUUCAAAGAUGGUGAUAGGAACACAAAAAUUUUUCAUACUCAAGUCAAGGGUCGAAGGAAGAGGCUACAUCUCAAAAGGAUUCAAAACAGUCAAGGUAUGUGGAUAGAAAAAGAUGAAGAGAUUGUUAUGGAAGCAGUUAAACUUUUAUAAAGAACAGUUCAAAGAAACCACAGUGCCAACUUCAUUUCACAUUUUAGAUCGAGUGCCAACACUGGCUGAUAUGGAGCAGAACUCAGAACUAAUGAAGCAACCAACAAAAGAUGAGGUAAAAAAUGCAGUGUUUGGUUUGAAUGGAGAUAGUGAAGGGGGACCAGAUAGAUACACAGGCAAAUUUUAUCACUCAUGUUGGGACAUAAUAAGGGAUGAUGUAUUUGACAUGGUGAGAGAAUUUUUCAAUGGCCAUGAAUUGCCAAAAUGUGUGACUCACACUAACUUGGUCCUACUCCCAAAGAAAAAAGAGGUGACUAUAUUUUUUGAUUUGAGGCCAAUAAGUCUUAGCAACUUUACCAACAAACUGAUAUCGAGGGGUGAUACAUGAGAGGAUAGCGGGACUACUUCCUAAUAUUAUAUCUGAAGAAUAGGCUGGCUUUGUGAAAGGGAGGAGCAUUAUUGAAAAUGUAUUGCUCACGCAAGAGAAAAUUACAGAUAUAAGACUUAGAACUAAAGCUGGACCAAAUGUUGUUAUGAGGCUUGAUAUGACUAAGGCAUACGACAAGUUAUCUUGGCUUUUUCUUACUAAGGUGCUUAGGAAGAUGGGCUUUGCAGAGAGAUUCAUUGGCAUGGUUUUUGGCAUUGUCUCAAAUAACUGGUAUUUUGUUCUUAUCAAUGGCCAGGCUCAUGGUUUUUUCAAAUCAUCGAGAGGAGUCAAACAAGGAGAUCCAUUGUCGCCUACAUUAUUUAUCCUAGCUGCUAAAGCACUGUCGAGGGGGUUAAAUGCUCUACAUUUGAACCUAUACUUUUGUGGCUUUGGCCUACCUAAAUGGAGUCCUAAAAUAAAUCAUCUAGCCUUCGCAGAUGACACUAUUAUCUUCUCUUCAUCUGAUGCUACUUCACUUCGAUUAAUUAUGGAAGUGUUAGGAGAAUAUGGGGCUGCAUCUAGGCAGCUUGUGAAUAAGAGCAAGUCAGCUGUUUAUAUGCAUCACUUAACAGAUGUAGAGGUAGCAAAUAAAAUAGAAAGGGUCACUGGUUUCAAAAGGGAAGAAUUUCCAUUCAUGUACCUAGGUUGUCCCAUGUUUUACGCGAGAAGAAAGAUGGAUCAUUAUCAAAGUUUGAUCACUAAAGUACUGAACAAAUUACAAUCAUGGAAGGGGAAGUUGCUUUCUAUAGGUGGCAGAGCAGUCUUUAUUGCUCAUGUACUGCAAAGUAUGCCCAUACACCUGCUUUCAACAGUCAAUCCUCCCAACUAUGUUAUAAACAAGCUGCACAAAAUACUUGCACAAUUCUUCUGGUGCAAUUCAGUAAGAGGCAGCAGCAGGCAUUGGGCAUCUUGGAACACAUUAUGUAUGCCAUAUGCUGAAGGUGGUAUUGGCUUCAAAUCUUUGCAUGAUGUAUCUAUGGCACUGUUCUGUAAAUUAUGGUGGAACUAUAGAACCAAGCCAAGUUUGUGGAGCUCUUUUAUGAGCCAUAAAUAUUGUAAAAAAAUGAACUCAAUGAUUGUUCCAUGGAGGGGAUUGGUCUCAUGUAUGGAGGAAGAUGUUAGAGUGUAGGGAUUUAACCGAGCACCAAAUAAAAUGGCAUCCAAAGAUGGGGUCGUCACUCUUUUGGUAUGAUAACUGGACAGAUCUAGGGGCUUUGUACUUCAUUGUUCCACAAGAUUUUGGGAUUGAUGAGUCCAUUCAUAAUGUAUGGGAUGUGGUUGAAGAAGGUGGUUGUAAUGUGGAUAGAUUGCUGGAGGUUUUACCUGAGGAGUAUGCUAUGCAUAUUGUAGAAAACAUCAAGCCACCUCAUGUAAAUGAGGUACUUGAUGUGCCUUAUUGGAUGUUGGAACCUCGAGGCUAUUUUAGUGUUAGAUCUGCAUGGGAGUAUGUGAGAAAGAAGAGAUGAACCAAGGGUAGCUUACAAGAUUAUUUGGGUAAAGGGGCUACCAUUCAAAAUUGCAUUCUUCAUGUGGAAAGUUUGGAAGGCAAACUGCCUCUAGAUGACUUCAUGAAGAGGUUGGGUUACCUUAUGCCCUCAAAAUGCUGGUGUUGCACACAACCUAAGGAAGAGAAUCUACAACAUUUAUUUUUCAACGUAGAGACUGCUAGAGAUGUAUGGAGAUAUUUCCUCUCGAGGGCAGGUAUUGAUGUACAAGGAAUGACAAUGGAUCAUGCUAUCACCAAAUGUUGGACUGCCAAAGUGUGUGAUAGACUCAAACCAAUUAUGCAGGCUUUGCCUUCCUGUGUAGUAUGGGAAUUAUGGAAGAGAUGGAAUAGCAUAAAAUAUGGUGAUGCUGUCUCAACUAGUCGUGUGAUAUAUCAAGUUUCAUCGACUCUUCAAGGACUUGUGAAAGUAAGGAAACCAGGAGUGCAUAAUGUCUCUCACAAAUGGCAUGAACUAUUAGCAAUGAUGGAGAACUAUACAUCUAGAUUAAAGGUUAGCAAAGUAGUUUGGGAAUUACCAGGAGAAGGCUGGAUUAAAGUGAACACAGAUGGUGCCUCGAGGGGGAAACUUGGCAGGAGUGCAAUUGGAUAUUGUGUAAGGGAUGAAUAUGGAGACAUUGUGUUUGCAGCAGGGAAGGAAAUAAAUGAAAUAACAAACACUGAAGCAGAGGCAGAGGCUAUUGUAGAAGCACUGAAAUUCUGCAGAAUGCAGCAGUACUCCCAAGUGUGUGUCCAAACUGACUCGAUGCUUAUGAAGAAAAUUAUGGAGGGAUCGUGGAAGCCACCUUGGAGUAUAGCAGACCAGAUUGAGGAAAUUAUGUAGAUAUUGAAUGGAGGAAAUUAUGUGGUGUCACACAUUUUUAGAGAAGAGAACAAAUUGGCUGAUCAUCUUGCCAAUUAUGCACUAGAUCAUGGGAAUAUUGAAUGUCAAGAAUUUUUGCAAUUAGAUACCCAAGGGAGGAGAAUAGUGAAUGAAGACGAGUUACAAUGUCCAUACUUGAGGGUAAAGGUUGCCAAGAACUAAGGAGCAAGGAGAUAAAGAAGUGCAUGGGACAUGAGCGUGCAUUGGACCAAUAUGUUCGAAUUCCUAGGGAGGAGAACAUGUUGAGAUCAAUUUUCACUAACUUUGUUUUCUUUUUUUGCAGGAAAAAUUACUGUUCUCAUGCCUUAUCAUAUUAUACGAUUUCAUUGGGUGGUAUUAGUACCUAGUGCUCAUUCCCUUGAAGGAAUUAUUAUGGUAAGCACAAACAUGAAGUUCAAAGUACCACACAUGUGGUUCAUAGACAUCAGAAGACUCAAUAACUUCAUGCACUAAAGGUCAUUAAGUCACAAAGAUGGUACAACUAUUAGAGAGAAUCAAGGCAGAGUUCAUCAUGACACACACAACAGGAAUACACCAAGGUUGGAACGCAGGAGUAUGCUGCCAAGAAAUAUGCAGCAUUUGUUGCUGAAAAUGGAACCAAAGGGAAUACUAUGGAACAGUUCAAUACAGUACAUGGCAUCAGCAGUUCAAACAGGGAGCUAGACAAAAUUACGCAGGAAUUGUCACAUAUGUUUCACUGCAGAGAAGUUGGAAUAUGUUGGAGAUCAAACAAACAAUCACCGUGAUCAAACUUUUAGGGGGAGAACAUGGUGAUAAAAGUUUUCGCUAACGUUGUGUUCUUUCUUGCAGGAAUCGUUACUUUGGCCAUGCACUAUUCUUUGAACAAACCCUAGUUGGUGGUAUUAGUACUAAGUACUCAUUCCACUGGGGGGGGGGGGGGGGGCAAAGGUAGGCAUAAGCAUGACAUUGAAUAUUCAAAGGAAUGUGCAAGGUGAUCUUGGUAAUUUGACGAUUUUGAGGCACGGCAAUCUCCAUGCUCUUCACAAGCCAAUGAAUGGAAUCACCAUCGCAAACAGUGAUCCUAAACAAGUUGAUAAGGGCAGGAACAAAAGAAAAUAUUCAACACUAUCCAGUCUGUUGUGGCCGAGACAGUGUAGAUUGAGUUAUUAUGCAGGUCAUAUGAUUUGGAUUUCCAAGGACCCCUAUAGAAAAACACCAUCUCUGAUAUGAAAGGAAGAUGGGACAAGAGAGGACACACACAUGAGGGCAUCAACUGUAAUGAAAAUCUGGGCAAAAGGUAGCAUAGGAACAACACUACUAAGAUAGUGCAUGCUCACACAUGCUCCUAAGUGCUGGACGUUACUGGUAAGUAUACAGCACUUAGUUCAUCUCGUGAUCAGUGGGAAGGAAAACAGCAACUAUGGAAAAUAACACAAACCAACUGGAAAAACUGCCGAGGUUGUGUGUCUACGCUACAACGUUAUGCACAUUUUUUGGAUGUAACUCUGGAUCUUAUGAAUGCAUAUGGGACCCAAAUUAAAAUGGAGUUCAUUCACGUAAUAGCUAAACACAAGGUACACAGAGGUAGGGCAAUAAUUAUCACUAUAGGGCCUCAUGAAUAUGGGGGUAACAACGUCUUGCUCAAACAUCACUGGACAGAAGAGCCACUGUCUCGUGCAGGUGGCAGUGGCAUUUCCAGCAAUGCAUACGAGGAAAUGAUGAUGCCACAACCAAACAACAAGUACGUACCAAUUGAAAUGCUGAAGAAUGGGCCAUGUUAAAUUGAAAUGCUGCAAAUUGACAAUGGCUAUGUACAAAGUAGUGGAACGCUACUAAUGGACUUCAUGAUUGAUGGCCUACCUUGGCUAGUUAUUAAACUACAUUUUCUUCUUGUACUUAGCAUACAACAUGUACUAUCGUCAUCGAGCAUUAAGAUCGAUUCCGAUAAUAUGGGCUAUGUAAUUGUCAAUUUUUAUUUCUUCCAUUUUGUAACGCAUCACGGAUUUUGUUUUUUUUGCUUUUGUUGAUAUAUAUAAAAAUUAGCCCUAGGCACUAUGCCUAGCGGAUUUCCAAAAAAAAAAAAAACAAAGAUGCAAUAUGAAACCCUAAUUUCAAGACACGGAGACAAACUUGAAGGUCGAAAAUUGAUUUGUUUUAUAAAACAAGAAGACAAAAAUUCGAAAUCCUAACUCACGAGACAUACAUAAACGAUCUUUUCAACAUCGAAUAAUUCUUUAUAGAAUAAGAAAUUAGAAAUACCUGAAAAGGGUAGAAGAACUGGGUUCUCUUCCCUUGGGUUUGACUAGCUGAGGAAUAAGGUUGAAGAAGAAGUUAAGGGUAGAGCUCCAAAUAUUAGAGUUUAGGGAUCCGUUCGUCAUUAUUCAAGAAAGCUUUAACCAUCUUACUGGAGCGCUUCCUGACUCUAUUCUGCCAGAAAUUAUUCAGAUUUAUAAGAGACUUGUGUGCUCGAAGCAAGGAAUGUUAUUGAGAAAUUUAAGGGUUAAUAUUCAUAGCUUAGAUAUGUUUGAAGCAACAGAGCUAUAGCUUCGAUGUGUUCGAAGUAUAUGCCACUUUGUUUAGUGUUUUAGCAAAACAAAAAAUAAUAAUAAACAAUUACUAUAAUUAUAGCCACUUAAAAGGAGAUCAUGCUUUUGGGAAAUAAGAGGGAAUUGAAAACCAUCUCAGUAGAAUUUGUUUCUCGGAAAACCAUUACUACAGAUGUACUUAUUGCAACGACUAAUAGAAAUCAUUGUAAUAAGAACCUCUAUAGCAACAAUUCUCCAACUAACGUAAUAGUUUAGCUGCAUAAGUGUCUUAUUAGGAUCAAGAUUCGUUGCAAUAUACCAGCUAUUGCAAUGGUUAUACAACCGUUGCAAGAAAAAGCUU